CCUGGUGUCUCAGAGUGUAAAGAAUCUGCCUGCAAUGCAGGAGAUCUGGGUUCAAUCCCUGGGUCAGGA
This 69-nucleotide transfer RNA is filed under the name Bos taurus (domestic cattle). It matches the Rfam family "tRNA". Rfam says of the family: Transfer RNA (tRNA) molecules are approximately 80 nucleotides in length. The record is from Rfam by way of RNAcentral. Lineage: Eukaryota; Metazoa; Chordata; Mammalia; Artiodactyla; Bovidae. RNAcentral also lists the same sequence under 4 other names.